AGAGACAGCCAGCUCUCCAGAGAUCCUCCAGGCUGGGGCAGCACUCAGUGCUGAGGCUGUGGGUGCAAGUAGCACAGAACAGUUGACAAGCAUGGUCAUCUACACCCAGGACGGCUCCCCAGCAGCCACAGUGAUCCAGAGCCAAAGAGAAAACAGUGAGCUCCAGGAAGCAUGAGGCACAGGGUAGUGUGCCAAGAUCCCCUUGGGCCAGCACAGAGGUCACUGAACUUUGUCAUGUUUACUUCAGAGUGUGCUGAACAAGCCCUUCAGGCACGGCUAACAUUGGCCACUAAAAGGCACCAAGGAGGGCAGAAAGCCAAGCCUACACCUAGGUUGCCCAGCAGCCUAAUAAGAGAGGGUAGGCUGGUCAUUGGGCCCUCUGCUGAUGGCUCACCCAUCACGAACCACUGGUGAAAAGCACUUUUCCCUGGUUUUUCUCCCGUAUAAGUUCCCUAUUUAGUCAUCAAAAGAUGGUGUCGCCUGCUGGGAAACAGGAAGCAUCUCUGGCCUCAGCACCUGCUACGUAUGGCUCGAACAGCCCUGUCAUCUCCUCCCACAUUCGGUUAAAAAUCGGAACUACCAAGAUCACAUCUUGAAGCAGUGAACACAUUGUUUUUUAUUGUUAUUUUAAGUUUCAGAUAAUGGUGUUCCCAGACCAAAGGAAGCCUGUUAACUCAUCUUAUGUAGAAAUUUCCUCUCUGCGAAUUUUUAGGGGAUUCCUUUGUCAUGACCACUCUGCACAAGAGAGACCUUUCUUCUGUGGUUUGAGAAAAGUCUUGAAAUUUUUAUUCAGUUACAGUCCACCUAGGUUGAAACAAUUAAUUCUCAUUCUGAAUUCAUUUCAUACCAUAACGUCUGUACAUGAAAUACCCACUAUGAAAAAUAUUAUUCAUUGCUUUUUAAACAAAUAUUUGUUUCUAUCAGUAUCGUUUUUGCAGGAUUUAUUGUGACUUCUCAGAGUAUGGGAAGGCUGACAUUGAACAUUGCAGUAGAUGCCUCCCCCUUGCCCUGCCUCCCCCAGCACUGCCUGCUCCAGGGCCAAUUCACUGCAAGUGCAGGAUGCAGGGUGAUGUUCCGGUGAUCUUUCUCGAUUCCAUUGCUCUGUUUGUUUUGUUUCCAAAAUUGUAAAAUAGCCCCCAUUCCUCAAAGGCAAAAUUGUUCUUGUUGUUUUCUUUGAAAUAAAAUUAUAGUGUUAAACUA
This 1200-nucleotide long non-coding RNA is filed under the name Rattus norvegicus (Norway rat). RNAcentral describes it as "long non-coding RNA NONRATT013970". Lineage: Eukaryota; Metazoa; Chordata; Mammalia; Rodentia; Muridae. The record is from RNAcentral.